Heterocephalus glaber (naked mole-rat) is the source of this 1986-nucleotide long non-coding RNA. Lineage: Eukaryota; Metazoa; Chordata; Mammalia; Rodentia; Bathyergidae. The record is from Ensembl.
AGCGUGGGCGGGGAGAAGAGGUUGCGGGGGCGGUACCAGAGAAGCAGCGCUCUGAUUACUUAUGCUCCAGAAGCCUAUCGAAACGGCGCAAGCGCGUCGGGAGCCUUCGGCUGGGCCGGAAGUAGCGGAGAAGGGAGGGGGUGAGCCCCCGGAGGGGAGGAGUCUGGGUCCUAAACUGGAGCAGCUUUGAUGCCAGACCGCGCGCACCACACGUAGGUGGGGUCCGGAGUCAGAUCUGAGCUUGGUGGUGCAUGUCUGUAAUCCCAGCACUGAGGAGGUUGAGGCAGGAGGAUGAAUUUUUGAGGCCAGCCUGGAGUACAUAGUGAGACUGUUUCAACCUUCCUCAAAUCAAAGUGUACCAUCUGGAAUGUGGAUACAAUGGCUGGAAUAUCUGCAUUUAUAUUGGACCAUGACGACAUCAAAGUUUACACCUAGAAGGAGUCUUUAUUUCAUGGCACUACCAUUUCAGCACUGAAUUUCCUCUCUGAAAUUCUAUAGUAUUUAUGCUACCUUUAUUUCGUGGCAAUGCCCACAGAAGAAAUAGUUUUGAGGGGGAAGAUGAGUUUGGAUUUUGGGCAUGUGAUGGUGAAACACUGGCAGGACCACUCAGAGAGAUGUAGGCUGCUCACAUCCACGGAAUGAUGCUACAGUUGAAUUAAACCAGGACCUGUGAGGCAGGUGCAGCAUCACUGAGCUAAAUCCCCGGCCCUCCAAGGGACUCACAGCUAAGAGUUUGCCUUGGGUCUCAGAGGAGAACUUAAGACUUGGACUUUCCAGCAGUUCUGAACCAUUAAGACUUUGGUGACUCUUAGAGAUAGACUAAAUGUAUUUUGCACAAAGAGAUGCACAUGAGUCUUCUAGAUGUUGUGGCAAAAUUUUAUGGUUUAGAUCAAGAAUGAGUUCCAAAAAUCUCAUGCACUCAUAUGUAGGGCUUUGGAAGAUGAUUGGAUAUUCAGGAAGCUAUAGCUGACUUGCUCUUAGGAAGUGUGGCCCAAUUAGAGGCAGAUCAUGGGGUGGGACCUGGAAGGGUAUGUAUCCCUCCUUGGGUCCUCUCUUAUCUCUCUGCUUCCUUGCUACCAUGAUGUGAGCAGCUUUCCUGCAUAGCAAGUCCUUCUACCAUGUUGCUUCUGCCUUUGAGCCUGCCAAACAUAGACUGAAAAUGUAAGCUAAAAUAAACCUAUUCUCCUUUAAGUUGUGGGUGUUGAGUAUUAUGUCUCAGCAAUGAUAAAAUCACUAAGACUCCCACCAACAAGUUUUAUAUGUUUUUUUAAAACUAGAAUUAAAAAUUUAAAAAUAAGUCAAGUUCAUGCUGGAGUAGAGUAGACCUCUAAUUCAAUGUAACUGGUAUCGUAUCCAUACAAGAUAAUGACUACUGAAACAGCCCUGUGGCCCUGGUGGAAAAUACAGACCCAUGGGCUGGAGCCCAACCAACUCCACAACUGUGAAUUCCACACCUUGGCUCAGCCACCGUCAACUUGGAGCUGGCUCUGCAUUGUUUCCCCUCUGCAUGGUACAGCAGAAGUGCCUACCAAACAAUAGACCUGAUCUUGGACAAGGAAAAAGUCUGGAAUAGAGGAUUCAUCAUGGCUGACUAGGGGAGAAGUCACAUCACAGAAGUUGAGGAAAGAUCCAACAUGGCUGAGUAGAGAAGGAGCCAUGUUAGAGAGACUCAGGGAACAUUAACCAGAAACAAGGAAGAGGAGAAACUAUCAGAAAAGUAAAGGAACAUAAGAUACGGAUUAACCAAACACAAUGUGGUGAUCAUGUCUGAAUUGUGAUUUGAAGAUUCUAACCCAAAGAACACUUCAGAGACAACUGUAGAACAUUCUAUAAGGAAGAGAGAACUGCACUGGGGUGAAAGAAUCAGCAACCAUUGGAACCUGCAAGGGAAGUGUGGGAUACUGCUUUCAGAGUGGCCUUCCAUAGUCAACAUUUGAUAAGUGACCAUGGUCCGGGGUCCCCCGCCACAAUUGUGGAACAAGCGCU